Molecule: long non-coding RNA, 181 nt
Organism: Leguminivora glycinivorella
Lineage: Eukaryota; Metazoa; Arthropoda; Insecta; Lepidoptera; Tortricidae
Exons: 3
Source: RefSeq, a predicted model, not a curated record
AUACAUAUUGUAAAGAAGACAUUGCAUGUACGCAAUUCAUAUUCACAUACAUAGCUUUGACAUGUAGUGAACAUGGAAAUUUUCACAUGCCCUGUGGCAGAGCAUAUUAAGGAUCUCCAAUGUAAACACUUUAUAACAUCUACUGUAACGCACCAUAUGUUCUUGUGAAUAAACUUUCAUU